RNAcentral lists this unclassified non-coding RNA (207 nucleotides) under uncultured Sordariomycetes. Its description in RNAcentral is "sequence contains ITS1". Lineage: Eukaryota; Fungi; Ascomycota; Sordariomycetes. The record is from RNAcentral.
CCGAGUUUACCAACUCCCAAACCCCGUGUGAACGUACCGUUUCCCGUUGCUUCGGCGGUGCCGCCCCGGGGGCGCGGGGACUCUCGGCAGAGAGGCCCAGCACCCCCCGGACCCAGGCGCCCGCCGGAGGACCCCCAAAACCUCCUGUAUUACACAGCGGCUUCUUCUGAGUUGCGCUCCCGCGAGCGGGACAAGCAAAAUGAAUCA